AAAGCUCGUAGUUGGAUUUUGCAGGAGGGCGCACGACCGGGCUUUGCUCAGGCCGCGCGCCUACCUGUUUUUUGUCGGGGACUACGCCACUCUUAACUGGGGGGCGCUAGGACGCGGCUCGUUUACUUUGAAAAAAUUAGAGUGUUCAAAGCAGGCCUUUGCUUGAAUACAUUAGCAUGGAAUAAUGGAAUAGGACUUUGGUUCUAUUUUGUUGGUUUCUGGAACCGAAGUAAUGAUUAAUAGGGAUAGUUGGGGGCGUUUAUAUUUCCAUGUCAGAGGUGAAAUUCUUGGAUUUUGGAAAGAUAAACUUCUGCGAAAGCAUUCGCCAAGGAUGUUUUCAUUAAUCAAGAACGAAAGUUAGGGGAUCGAAGACGAUCAGAUACCGUCGUAGUCUUAACCAUAAACUAUGCCGACUAGGGAUCAGUGGACGUUAUUUUAUGACUCCAUUGGCACCUUGUGAGAAAUCAAAGUUUU
This 474-nucleotide ribosomal RNA is filed under the name uncultured marine eukaryote. RNAcentral's name for it is "bacterial SSU rRNA". It matches the Rfam family "Eukaryotic small subunit ribosomal RNA", at positions 623 to 1107 of the family's 1831-position model. The record is from RNAcentral.